AACGAACGCUGGCGGCAUGCCUAACACAUGCAAGUCGAACGAGACCUUCGGGUCUAGUGGCGCACGGGUGCGUAACGCGUGGGAACCUGCCCUUAGGUUCGGAAUAACUCCCCGAAAGGGGUGCUAAUACCGGAUAAUGUCUUCGGACCAAAGAUUUAUCGCCUUUGGAUGGGCCCGCGUUGGAUUAGCUAGUUGGUAGGGUAAAAGCCUACCAAGGCGACGAUCCAUAGCUGGUCUGAGAGGAUGAUCAGCCACACUGGGACUGCGACACGGCCCAGACUCCUACGGGAGGCAGCAGUGGGGAAUAUUGGACAAUGAGCGAAAGCCUGAUCCAGCAAUGCCGCGUGAGUGAUGAAGGCCUUAGGGUUGUAAAGCUCUUUUACCCGGGAUGAUAAUGACAGUACCGGGAGAAUAAGCUCCGGCUAACUCCGUG
This 433-nucleotide ribosomal RNA is filed under the name uncultured bacterium. RNAcentral describes it as "partial 16S ribosomal RNA". It matches the Rfam family "Bacterial small subunit ribosomal RNA", at positions 29 to 507 of the family's 1533-position model. The record is from RNAcentral.